UUUCAAGGAACCCUUAGGGUAUUAUUUGCAAUAUUUUGAAUAGUUAAAACAUUUUAAUUUCUCACGGAAAAUAUUUCAUUCAAUAUAUCGAGACAAAGAAGUACAGCAUUUUUUGAUUAUUACAAAGAGAAAAGGGAAAUAAACAUCCUAUGGAUCCCUAGAAGCUCGGGAUGCUGGAAGACGAGAAGUACACAGCUUC
RNAcentral lists this long non-coding RNA (199 nucleotides) under Lathyrus oleraceus (garden pea). Its description in RNAcentral is "Pisum sativum (pea) long non-coding RNA (PSAT_LNC035985)". The record is from RNAcentral. Lineage: Eukaryota; Viridiplantae; Streptophyta; Magnoliopsida; Fabales; Fabaceae.